This 3348-nucleotide long non-coding RNA is filed under the name Pongo abelii (Sumatran orangutan). Its description in RNAcentral is "lincRNA". Lineage: Eukaryota; Metazoa; Chordata; Mammalia; Primates; Hominidae. The record is from RNAcentral.
GGCUUUUCCACCUGGACAAUUCCUCCCUCCCCAGGUGGAAGGUGGGGGGGGUUGUGCUUCUCCCUGGGCAGAAGCAGCACCACAGCCCCUUUGUCCCCUUUGCCAGAGGCUUCAAGGGGCAGUGUCCCCCAGUGCACCCCAAGCAAGCUCCCCAUCUGACAAGGGAAGCCCUAGCUCAUUCCAGAAGCAUCAGAGUCAUCCUUCACAUUCACCACCAUGCUGAGCACCCAGAGGGGCUCAUGCCUCCAGUGUCAGACAGGAUUGAGAUCCAGGCUGUCUGGCUCCGGGGUCUCAGACCUCACACUCGACUUCAGAGGGAGUUCUUGCCUGGGAGUGCCUUCAAAGCAGAAUCCCUGGCCACUUUCCCCUGCGACAUUUAGUCCUUUAAGGAGGCCGUAAGCAUGUUGACCUGCCCCAGAGCCAGUCAUGCCCUCACAUCCCUCAGGACGGCCCACCAUGGCCAUGCACAGGCCAGAGAACAGCCUUGUUGUUGGCGUCAGGACUGUUGGCAUCAGGGUCCUACUUGUCAGGUUAGGAACGUGGUUCCUUUACCUGCACCUCCAGGUGAUGCUUUCUCCAUCCUUAGAAACUGAAGGCCUAGGUCCCUAAAAGUAGUAGCAGCAGCAGUAGUAGCAGUAAUAGUAGAAGGAGGAGCUGAAGACCUCACAAUGAUCAUUGCCCAGCCACAUGAGCCAGCCCGUCCUAAGCAUGGAACACACACUGUCAAAUUCUCACACCUCCUUUUGGAGCGGGUUCUCUCAAUUCUCCCAUUUACAGAUAAACAAUCUGAGACUCCAAGGGGCUAAAUGAUUUGCUCAAAGUCAGGGUAAGUGUGAGAACUGGAGCUGAAACCCAGCCUGCUAGACCUGAGCCCCUGACUCUCAACCUUAAGCCACGCUGUCUCCCAUGGAUCCCUCCAGGGCCACGCAGUUGGUGCUUAAUAAUUGCAUACUGCGUGGAGGUGAGCUGGGCUCUGGGUGUGGCCAGGUGGUGUCUCUGGAGGGCUCAGCAGACCUUUCUCAGGUAGGUGGUAUUAGACAGUGGGCUCAUGUGGUCCUGAUUCAGAGGCGGAGAACGGGAGUGUUUCAGGGAUGCACGUAUGAGCCUGGUCCUAGCAUGCAUCUCUAGGUGGGGACAGACUCCUCUCAGCUGCACCAUUGCCCAGUGAUAGUUCCUCCUGCCCUGAUGCUGUCACACCCUUGUCAUUCUGGGGGAUUAAACUCUGCCCUCUGGAUUUGUUCAUGGGCAGCUCAGUAACACAAAGAAGUCAUUCAUAAAUUUACUUUGCUUUCGACUGCCCUUUUGUGGUAACGUUGGUUCAAGGGAAUCCUGUGAUUCCCCAAAUGUGGGGAGCAAAUCGAGUCACCGUGAGUCACCUCCCCAGGCUGAUAUCUUCUCUGGCAUAUGUGGCCAUGGGGGAGCCAGGAUGGGUCUCCUUCCUCACUCCAUCUGCUCACUGGGUCUUGGUCUCAGGUGCCUCUUCCCUUCACUGCCUGUCUUUUAUUCCUGUCUACCCUCUCCUCAUACAGAAAUUGGGAUUCCUCAUACAGAGAAAUGGAGUGAUUGCUCCUGAUUGCACAGCCAGGAGGGCCGUACACUGGAGCCCCUCCCGCUGCAAUUAACUUAUUUCUGCCCCUGCGGUGUGCGGUUCCUGGAGCAACGCCUGCCGCCUGCUUCUCUGCCCCAUCCUCUGUGAGGAAGGGUCCAUGCUGUUCCUUUUUCUGUCUGAAAGAUAUGCUCAUCUGCCCCAAGUUGUGUGAACCACCGACUCUGUGCUCCUUCCAGGCCCCGACCAGUGUGUUUGAGCAUUAAAGCUCGCAGGUACAUCAAAGGUGCUCAGUAAAUGCUGGAUAAAUCAAUCCAUGCUUUCCUGGGCUCUUCUGGUGGGCAUGCAUUCUUUCAGCUAAGCGUCCCUGCCAGGGGAGUGAUCGGUUUCCAUGGGGCCAGAGGAGGAAAAGCUGGUUGACCCCUAUCCUGGCCAUUCAGAGUCAUUUCCUACUCCUUUCUGUGGCUGGAACCAGAAGAAUAUAUCUCAGGUCUAAUAGGGUAUGAACUGCAUAAAGCCUGGGAUUUUUGUGCAUUCUGUUCAUGACGAUGUCUCUAGCCUGUUGAACAGCCCAUAGUAGGCACUCAGCAAACCAACAGGAACUGAGGGGGUCAAGGAAACGCCCUGUGAUCCCCCCGAAUCCGACCCCUCUGCCUUUGCCCACAUUUCCUCCAUUAAAACACAGCCUAUAUCAAUGUGGACCUGGGAGAAAACUGGGGUGGGGGAGGACUGUGCCUCUCUUGACCUUUGUUUACAAAAAAUAAGUUGGCUCCUAGACCAGUGUCUGAGCCACACUGCCCGGGACAGCCCUGAAACAGCCACGUCCCCACCUUUCAGGAGUCGGCCAAGAGCACGGUGGUUGCAGAAGACCCUGGCUGAUGGAGAUAACAUUUGACAAACAGGUGCUUUUCCAAUUAUGGAUAACAACAGAAAAGCAGUCAUUGGUUUCUAAAAGGUCAUCAAGAUAUAGAGCCCGUUUGGGAAGGGAAUGACUUAUGCAGUGGGCUUGUAUAAAUCUGGAGAAGUUUUAUGCGCAAGUCAGACAAGAAAUGUGUUUUACAUAUGGCUCGGGAGCCAGCAAGUGCUAUGAAGCCCCUUCACAUGGCUAGUGGCAUCCUGAGGGCCCGGCGACAAUUAGUCAUGGCGUCAUCGAACACCAGGCUGGAGGAGGUCUUGGAUGCCACAGCUCCUUUUGAAUUUCAAAGAAGUUCAAAUCCCCAUCUGGCUGUUACACUUUUAGGGUAUUGAGAGUGAAAACAAGCACUGACAUGAACACCCAACCAGCUGCUGGUGACAUCAUCCCCUUCUGAGAUCUGAGGACAUGAACACCCAACCACCUGCCAGUGACAUCGCCUCCUUCUGAGAUCUGAGGACAUGGACACCCAACCACCUGCCGGUGACAUCGUCUCCUUCUGAGAUCUGAGGACAUGGACACCCAACCAGCUGCUGGUGACAUUGUCUGCUUCUGAGGUCUGAGGACAGACACUCACAUAGACACCCAAUCAGCUGCUGGUGACAUCGUCUGCUUCUGGAAUCUGAGGGUUGGAACACAUUGGCCUGGCUCAGUGUUUCUCCAUGUGGUUUUGACACCACCUGAGUUGGAAUCAAUGUGGGUUCCCAGCCUCAUGCCUGGAGAGUUGGAUUUUGCGAGUGUGAGGUUAGGUCCAGCAUCUGCAUGUGUAACGAGCUCCCAGGUGUUUCGUAGAUGCAGUAGGGCUUGAGAAGCUCCUUUCUAGCACCAUCUUCCCUUUUGCGCAUGAGGGAGUUCAGGUCCAGAGAAAUAAAGCAGCAAGGUUAGUGGC